This 566-nucleotide ribosomal RNA is filed under the name uncultured bacterium. RNAcentral's name for it is "bacterial SSU rRNA". It matches the Rfam family "Bacterial small subunit ribosomal RNA", at positions 338 to 917 of the family's 1533-position model. The record is from RNAcentral.
CCUACGGGAGGCAGCAGUGGGGAAUUUUCCGCAAUGGGCGAAAGCCUGACGGAGCAAUACAGCGUGAGGGAAGACUGCCUAUGGGUUGUAAACCUCUUUUUUCAGGGAGGAAUAAAUGACGUGUACCUGAAGAAUAAGCAUCGGCUAACUCCGUGCCAGCAGCCGCGGUAAGACGGAGGAUGCAAGUGUUAUCCGGAAUCACUGGGCGUAAAGCGUCUGUAGGUGGUUUAAUAAGUCAACUGUUAAAUCUUGAGGCUCAACUUCAAAAUCGCAGUCGAAACUAUUAGACUAGAGUAUAGUAGAGGUAAAGGGAAUUUCCAGUGGAGCGGUGAAAUGCGUAGAUAUUGGAAAGAACACCGAUGGCGAAAGCACUUUACUGGGCUAUUACUAACACUCAGAGACGAAAGCUAGGGUGGCAAAUGGGAUUAGAUACCCCAGUAGUCCUAGCCGUAAACUAUGGAUACUAGAUGUUGAACAGAUCGACCUGUGCAGUAUCAAAGCUAACGCGUUAAGUAUCCCGCCUGGGAAGUAUGCUCGCAAGAGUGAAACUCAAAUGAAUUGACGGA